UACGAAGGGGGCUAGCGUUGCUCGGAAUCACUGGGCGUAAAGCGCACGUAGGCGGAUCUUUAAGUCAGGGGUGAAAUCCUGGAGCUCAACUCCAGAACUGCCUUUGAUACUGGGGAUCUCGAGUCCGGAAGAGGUGAGUGGAACUCCGAGUGUAGAGGUGAAAUACGUAGAUAUCUGGAGGAACACCGGUGGCGAAGGCGGCUACCUGGCCCAACAUUGACGCUGAGACCCGAAAGCAUGGGGAUCAAACAGG
RNAcentral lists this ribosomal RNA (253 nucleotides) under uncultured bacterium. RNAcentral describes it as "partial 16S ribosomal RNA". It matches the Rfam family "Bacterial small subunit ribosomal RNA", at positions 524 to 776 of the family's 1533-position model. The record is from RNAcentral.